This is a non-coding RNA of Benincasa hispida (wax gourd), 4564 nucleotides long. The record is from RefSeq and is a predicted model, not a curated record. Lineage: Eukaryota; Viridiplantae; Streptophyta; Magnoliopsida; Cucurbitales; Cucurbitaceae.
AGAAGGGGACAAGAGGUUUAGUGGUGGUACUGUGAUGAUUCUUCUCAGCAGGCACGUGAAAGGAUCUCUUUUCUUCCUCUUCUUCGACUUGCUCUUGUCUUUCGUGGCUCAGAUUCCAUUUUGGAACUACACAAUGACUCAUCAAGCAGAAACCUGAGAUGUCUCUCAUUGCUGAGUUAUGGUAAGGUUUCUUUCUUUUUAUUUUGUUUAGCUCUUCCCUUUUUCCUUCACUACCCACUAGUCAAAUUCACUACUUGUGUAAAAAAAAUGUAAAAGAGGGCCUCUUCAAAGUAGGUUUUGAGGGGAGAAAAGAAGGAAUAAUAUACCAUAAGAUGAGAGGAGAUGAACAGUUUAAGUAACUCUAUGCAUCUGUUUCUAAUUUUUAAUUUGAUGGUUAAUUACAGAAUUUGAAACUGGUCAAGUCUAUGCAUCUGUUUUUAAACUUUAAUUUGAUGGGUUAAAUCCAUUGUGAUCACUUAUUUGGAAUAUAAUAUCUUAUGAGUUCUUUUAUACCUAAAUGUUAUAGGGUCGGACAAAUUGUCCCAUGAAAUUAGUCGAGGUGCACGUCCGAAUUAUCAUGGAUAUGAAAAGAAAAAUUCUGUAAAUAGAAUAAGUUUUUAUUCAUGAAGUGGGUAGAAGAAUAGCAUGGUGGAAAGAGAAGUUUUUCAUUUCUGGUGGGUGUGAGAAUACGAAGUGAAUUAAUUUGAUAGCAUAGGAAUUUACUUCAAAUCAUUAUCACAAUAGUAGGAGUCGUACAAACUCCUUCAAAUCAUGUCCACGUUAUAUAUUUAAUAAUACAAUUGUCAGUUUUGUACUUAUCCAAUGGUAGCCAUGCAAGUCUCUCAUGAGGGUCCAAAGCCUAUCAACCCCUCAAAUUCAAUGGAACCAUAGACCUGAUCGAUAAAGGGACCAUAUUUAUGUCAAAAUUGAAGCUUUUCUUUUUCUUUGUAGAAAUAAUCCUCAAGAAGAUAACAGUAGUUUGCAUCAAAUCAUGUAUUCAAUUGCAUCCCAUUCAUCUAGACUCGAGGGAAAUGAAAGCCUUCAACCAAAACUUGUCCUUUUCUAAGUCCUGAACAAUCAUUAUGUUCUCUGUUUAUAUUGUAUAGAUACAUAUGAAUAUAGGAUAAUGUUUUUAUUCCUCUGUUCAGAAAGGAGAAGCUGAAAACAAAUAAUAAAAGAAACAUGGUUCAUUCAAUCAUUUUUCUAACUGAUUCAUUUGGAUCACUUGAAUUUGGCAAUAAACUUUCUUUAUGAUUCUUCUGCAAGGUACUCUUUUAAAAGGAACGAUUGAGAACAAUCAUUUUAGUUCACUGUUAUUCCCCAUUUUUCGUAUUUAUUGGAGAAUGGUUUCUUUAGUUCUCUAAUAGUGUUGAAGUCGGGAAUUCUAUGAUGGAUUUUUUUUUAUAUGAAAUUAAUCUACAUAUAUUAAAACAAAGUAGGUUGGGAACAUUAAUGAAGUUGGGUGAAUAAAUAGACUAAAUGCUAGGUUUGAACUUGACACCACAGGUUCUAUUCUCUUCCAAGUUUGAUUAGAAGUUGUCAUUGUCAUCAAUUUUCUCUAUUGAGUUUUUAUUCAGCUAUUGGCUAGAACUGCACUGCUGAGAAACAUAUAAUGCCUCAAUAGGAGAUUGUAAAAUCAUCCGACAGCGGAAUGUAUGAUCUGGGUGCAAACAUGUGAUGUCACUGAAUGCAUUAAUGCAUUAGCAUUUAUGUAUUUAGAGUUGUAGAAGAAUUUUUAAAACCACAAGGACAUGUAUUCUAUAUUUAUGAGUGAAAGAUUUCUUGAAGACAUAAAUGAUAGAUUAGAUGGGAGCUUGGAAGUUAAUUUAACAAACCCCAAUCAAGUUUGGUGUAUCCUAAACACAUAUUUGUAUAUAUAAUGUAUCACUGAUCCAGCGAGGACGACUGAGAUCUGAUCCAGCCAAAAAUGAAAUAUACCCAAUUAUCUUAUGUGAUAUUCAGUUCUGGCUUCAAAAUUUUGAAGAGUUUAUGUGGAGUAGUUUCAUAGAUUGCAGCUGAGAAGUUACAUGAACUUUGCCAUUCUUGGAUAGAUGAUUGCAUGCUUAUGGUUCAUUUAUGCUUAAUUGUUUUAGAUUUUCGCUUUAGUUAGAAAUUUAAAAAUGAUAAUUUAAGAUAUGACCACCAUAUUUCCUCUAACUUCUAAGCAUGGAGGUUCACUUUGGUUAUAAGUUCAUAGAAAAAUCAGAUCUGACAUCAUGGAUUACCCUUCACUUGGUAAAAAAAAUAUAAAAGAUUGUGAAAUAAGUUACUGAACCAAUGACAGAUUAGGCAGACAUAGUUUAGUGUCUAUUUCACUGAAGCUGGCCUUGUAGUUGGGGUCCCUCUGUUGCAAUUUACAGUAUGGUUUCUCUGUCCUAACAGACAGGCUUGUUCAUCCAUUAGAAAAUCUCCCCGUGUGUUGUUCUUCUCAGAUUUUGAUUUAUUUUCACAUUGGAAGAAUUUUGAAAUUUGGUUGUAAAUAUUUAGAAUUACUUGGGAAAAAUAACAUAUCCCAGCAGCCUUUUGCUUUUAAAUCUUCGAAAUAUUUUACGAUAUCAUUCUACUCUUCCUGGUCAUCUGCAGCUCUCCUUUCUGAAAUUUAACUGUUCAUACCUAUCUAUUAUGAAUUUUGGCUGGGAUUUUAAGUUUUGUUGAUUCAAUUUUCCUUUCCAUGAUUCAUCACAUAUAAUUUACGACUAGAAAUGAAACGACUGGCUGUAACUUUUAAAAUUAAAUAAAUGAAGUCUGAAAAUCCAGAUAUUCAUUUCCUUUCUCGUAGGAUUUUACAUAUUUAACUUGUUUAGUACUGUUGGAUCAAUAGUUAAAAUGCAUUGUAAAUCCUAGAACAUAAUUGUUUGCACUUGCGGAUGAGUAGAAUAUAGACUUAUACAUCACUGGUGGAAAAAUUCAAGCCAGGAUCUCAUAUCGUGAUUCAUGCAUCUUCCCUUUGGCUCAAAUUAGAAUUAUCAAUGUUAAUGAACUUUGUUUAGAGAAGAGGCCAUUAAGAUUUUUGUAAACUUGAGUGAAGUCUGAACACUUGGAAGCAUGAGAAAGCAAAUUUAAUAAAAUGGGACUACCUAAGCUUUCAAGAUAGUUGUUCAAAUGGACAAAGUGGAAGUUGUAAUAAAAAUGAGAGAGAUUUUCAUGUAGCACUGAUGAAACUAGACCCAUCUCAGAAAGGGUGGAUUGGGUUAGGAUCGUAACACAGAGAGGGUAUAAAUGAAGAAAGGCAGAAAUAAUAAAUAUCUGUGCUCUUGCUCCCCCCGCAAUCUGGUCAAUUCGUGCUAUGUUGUCCUGGUAAUAUUGCAGAAACAAUGCCUUUUUGUGCUCCAAUUCAACCUUCGUUAACAGAAUUUUUCUCAAUAAACCUUCAAAUGUAUAAUAAAGAAAACAUUCAAAAGGUGAGGCAAGACCUUUUUCUUUUCCAUAUGAAGUUUCGCACGCAUUUUUCUCUCAUUCUCCCAGACAAGAAUUGAAGCUUUUAUCUUAUGAUACCUGAAAUAUGAGAUUCUCAUAGAAAAUAACUCUAUAAGCAAGUUUCAGGUGAGAAAUCUUUUAGUGCAAGAGUUUCAUGAACUUGUCAACUCCUGAAGAUUGAUGGAUGCAGCAGCUAUAAUAUUAACUGAUAAAGCACUUAGUAUAUACCUUUUAUUAAUCUUCUCCAUCUUAUUUCUUUCCCACACAUCUGCUCUAGUUGGUACAAGGCUUCGUCUCGGUGGCGGUAUGGGAAUUCCAGUCAUUGAUUCCUUCUUUUCCUGUUCCAUUGGCUUCUUUAUUGAAGAUUGACCUGGUGUAGUGAACAUGAACAUGAUAUUUUUUGUGACAAGAAGUUAUAAGAAAUUUCUAAGCACAAUAUUUAAAUUUACCAGGAUUGGUGGUUUCCUUGUUAGACAAUCGCUUUGUUAUGCUGGGAGCGAAUGCAGAGCGAAUUGCAAAUGCAGCUGAUGCUACUGCAGUGGCAAGCUCUAUAUCACUUGAAUCAUAAUCCUCAUUCAUUUGGUUUGAAAAAUACCAUUUUAACUUCUUGGAUUCCUUUUUAUCUGGACAAUUGAGGGGAAGAAGAAUAAGUUUUUUGCACUACAACCAUAUUGAUGAAAACCAAAGGGAUUGUAAGUCAUAGCAGCAGUUUUCUAAGGAAACUUUGCAUUAUGUUUCUGUCAAAUGAUUAAAUUUUGUGCAGUGAAAAUAUCAUAUCAGUACCCUCUUUGAAGGAUCUUGUUUUUUUCUGUGGAAUUCCAUCUCUACGUUUGAUGGAAGCAUCCUUUUUAUGUUGUCCUGAAUCCGAAAAACUCACUCUACAAAGCAGGCAAUAGCUAUAUUACUUUCAGUAUUCAAAUUAAAGAGGGCAAGAAGAAGAAAACUGUUGGCCUUCUAGAACCUAAGCUUGAUGGCUCUUGAUUUGAUUUGAUUACUUUUCUGUCUCAAUGAUAGUUGUCAUUUUCUUUUCCCUUUUAGAACUUUUUAAGUUGUAAAUGAUGAACCAGAUGAAAAACUGAUGAAGAUACAUCAAAUAUUCAAAGUAGGCUAUGGGGAUAAAGAGAAAAAAUAUACCUUCUUUGACUAA